Molecule: transfer RNA, 74 nt
Filed under: Deltaproteobacteria bacterium
Lineage: Bacteria; Pseudomonadati; Myxococcota; Myxococcia
Also listed under: 3 other names
Description: tRNA-Arg
Rfam family: tRNA
About the family: Transfer RNA (tRNA) molecules are approximately 80 nucleotides in length. Their secondary structure includes four short double-helical elements and three loops (D, anti-codon, and T loops).
Source: RNAcentral
GCGCGGUUAGCUCAGCUGGAUAGAGCGUUGGUCUCCGAAGCCGAAGGUCGCAGGUUCGACUCCUGCACCGCGCG